Molecule: transfer RNA, 75 nt
Filed under: Candidatus Nomurabacteria bacterium RIFCSPLOWO2_01_FULL_36_10b
Lineage: Bacteria; Candidatus Nomuraibacteriota
Description: tRNA-Arg
Rfam family: tRNA
About the family: Transfer RNA (tRNA) molecules are approximately 80 nucleotides in length.
Source: RNAcentral
GCCCCCGUAGUUCAAUGGAUAGAACACUGGACUUCUAAGCCAGUUAUGGAGGUUCGAUUCCUCCCGGGGGCACAA